This 133-nucleotide transfer RNA is filed under the name Sordaria macrospora k-hell. It matches the Rfam family "tRNA". From Rfam's summary of the family: Transfer RNA (tRNA) molecules are approximately 80 nucleotides in length. Their secondary structure includes four short double-helical elements and three loops (D, anti-codon, and T loops). Lineage: Eukaryota; Fungi; Ascomycota; Sordariomycetes; Sordariales; Sordariaceae. RNAcentral also lists the same sequence under 1 other name. The record is from Rfam by way of RNAcentral.
GCGUGGUUGGUUUAGUGGUCAACACAUUGGCUCAGUAAUGGCACUUCGAUUACUUGGAUGUUCAUGUCAGUCCCCUUCGGGGCACUGCCAGUCUGACUGUCAGAGGCCCCGGGUUCGAAUCCCGUACCGCGCA